This 395-nucleotide unclassified non-coding RNA is filed under the name soil metagenome. RNAcentral's name for it is "partial contains 5.8S ribosomal RNA, internal transcribed spacer 2, and large subunit ribosomal RNA". The stretch from base 1 to 120 matches the Rfam family "5.8S ribosomal RNA", at positions 35 to 154 of the family's 154-position model. The record is from RNAcentral.
GAUGAAGAACGCAGCGAAAUGCGAUAAGUAAUGUGAAUUGCAGAAUUCAGUGAAUCAUCGAAUCUUUGAACGCACCUUGCGCCUUUUGGUAUUCCGAAAGGCACACCUGUUUGAGCGUCAUGAAUACCUCAAUCUCCAUCUUUUCUUCGGAUUGAUGGGUGACUUGGAUGUUGAGCCCUGCUGGUAUGCUAUAUCAGCUGGCUUUAAACUUAUUAGCCGGCUCUGUACUGGAUCGGUUUGACUCGACGUGAUAAUAUUAUCGUUGAGGAUGCAUGUCUCGUGCAGCCGGAAAGUAUCAAAGCAGCUUCUAGCUUGCCUUUAGUGCACUUUUACAUUUUAGACCUCAGAUCAGGUGGGACUACCCGCUGAACUUAAGCAUAUCAAUAAGCGGAGGA